Molecule: non-coding RNA, 73 nt
Organism: Harpegnathos saltator (Jerdon's jumping ant)
Lineage: Eukaryota; Metazoa; Arthropoda; Insecta; Hymenoptera; Formicidae
Source: Rfam
CGUCAGGUAGCUCAUUGGUUUAGAGCAGUCGCCCGGCAAGCGAAAGACCGGGGUUUGAUUCCCGGUCUAGCGA